Long non-coding RNA from Papaver somniferum (opium poppy), 553 nucleotides. RefSeq lists it as uncharacterized. The transcript has 4 exons. The record is from RefSeq and is a predicted model, not a curated record. Lineage: Eukaryota; Viridiplantae; Streptophyta; Magnoliopsida; Ranunculales; Papaveraceae.
UCAAAUCAGAAGAAAUUGAGAAAGAUGGAGAGAAAGGGAGAGAGAAACAAAGAUGUAGAGAGAUUUUGAAGGAUUAAGUUGUUUCUUUAUCAGAUUAUUUUGAUCUCAGGGUCUGAACCAAGUCUGAGCAGGUUGUGUAUGUUGUUUUUGAAUCAUGGGUGCAUGAAUCAUUUGGUCGCAGUUAAUGAAGAUGGUUGGACAUGAAUACGUCGAAGAGAUGAUUACCUCUUGAUUAUUCCAUUCAUAAAUGGUGGAUGUCACUAGGAUUGAAGAUUAUCAUGUUGAUGUCUAAGAGACGGGUAAAACAUCUUAUAGGUAGAAUCAUUAGUCGCAUAUCCAGGACUCCAUUUGGAAGAUGAAGAAAUCAACGCAUCAAAAUUGCUAGAGAGAAGUAAAGAAGGCCUAUGAUGUGCACUGAGUGCUUUACUUGCACCUUACUUAAUGAUUUACUACCAUUCUUGCUUACGACUUUGUACUUUUUUUCUCAUGUAAACUGUUACAAUGAAUGUUACUAUCUUAUUUAUUUUAAGAAUUUAGAUUGGUUUUUACUUCA